This 468-nucleotide ribosomal RNA is filed under the name uncultured bacterium. Its description in RNAcentral is "partial 16S ribosomal RNA". It matches the Rfam family "Bacterial small subunit ribosomal RNA", at positions 28 to 507 of the family's 1533-position model. The record is from RNAcentral.
GACGAACGCUGGCGGCGUGCUUAACACAUGCAAGUCGAACGGAAAGGCCCUGCUUUUGUGGGGUGCUCGAGUGGCGAACGGGUGAGUAACACGUGAGUAACCUGCCCUUGACUUUGGGAUAACUUCAGGAAACUGGGGCUAAUACCGGAUAGGAGCUCCUGCUGCAGGGUGGGGGUUGGAAAGUUUCGGCGGUUGGGGAUGGACUCGCGGCUUAUCAUCUUGUUGGUGGGGUAGUGGCUUACCAAGGCUUUGACGGGUAGCCGGCCUGAGAGGGUGAACGGCCAGAUUGGGACUGAGAUACGGCCCAGACUCCUACGGGAGGCAGGAGUGGGGAAUAUUGAACAAUGGGCGGAAGCCUGAUGCAGCAACGUAGCGUCCGGGAUGACGGCCUUCGGGUUGUAAACCGCUUUCGCCUGUUACGAAGCGUGAGUGACGGUAAUGGGUAAAGAAGCACCGGCUCACUACGUG